AGUGAACGCUGGCGGUAGGCUUAACACAUGCAAGUCGAACGGCAGCACAGUAAGAGCUUGCUCUUACGGGUGGCGAGUCGCGGACGGGAGAGGUAUACAACCGAAUCUACUCUUUCGGGGGAGAUAACGUAGGUAAACUUACGCUAAUACCGCAUACGACCUUCGAUUGUAAGCAUGGGAACUUCGGGCCUUGCGCGGAUGAAUGAGCCGAUGUCGUAUUAGCUAGUUGGGGGGUGAAAUGCCCACCAAGGCGACGAUCGGUAGCUGGUCUGAGUGGAUGAUCGGCCACACUGGAACUGAGACACGGUCCAGACUCCUACGGGAGGCAGCAGACGGGAAUAUUGGGCAAAGGGGGCAAGCCUGAUCCAGCCAUCCCGCGUGGGUGAAGAAGGCCUUCGGGUUGUAAAGCCCUUUUGUUGGGAAAGAAAAGCUGCAGGUUAAUACCACGCGGUUCUGACGGUACCCAAUGAAUAAGCACCGGCUAACUACGUG
Molecule: ribosomal RNA, 492 nt
Filed under: uncultured bacterium
Lineage: Bacteria
Description: partial 16S ribosomal RNA
Rfam family: Bacterial small subunit ribosomal RNA
Source: RNAcentral